UAGCUUUUGAGUAGGAGGCAGUUUAAUAUGGGCACAUAUUUUUUCCGAAAUUGUCAAUACUGCCCCCUAGCCCCAACAGGUGGGUCAGUGGGGUUGUUAGGGAUGGUGAGGGGCUGCAGCUUUUCUCUAGGAGUCUCUACAGUCUGCUCUCUGUGCUGCAGCACAACUCCUUUGCCAUCUCCUCCUUUACCUGUACCAGCUCUCUCCUCAUGGUGGCAUUUACCUCCUUAAGCGCUGUGUAUACUGACCCGUUCAGUGGAGAGAGACAUGGGGGCUGCGGGAGGCGCGAAGCGUCGCACAGAGCGGUGAAGUCAAGAUAAAACUAAAAGAGUAACGCAUGAUUCCUCAGAACAGCUGACACACCCAUAAAGUGCUAUAAUUGAAAAUGUAAAUGAGGAGGUGGAUGAAGACAUGCGAGUGCUCGGGCCCUUGCUCUGCUCAUCUGUCUGCGAGGCGCUACCUGGAUUGUGGAUUCUAAGGUUCAUUAAAAAAUGAAGUAAUUAAUGCGUUUGUCAGCACUCUCUUUCUCUUCUCCUGCAGCCAGACUGCACAAAUCAAGCCUUUCUGACUCCGCUGCCCCGGGACCAAUCAGAGACAGAUCUGGGACUGAUACACAUCCUCACACCUUCACCACUUUUGUUUUCAGAGCAGUCUACUCCAAUUUAAAAGAACAUUAGAUGGAUAACCACAAUGCUGGGCAGAGAUUUUUUCUGGAGAAUCCCACUUUUGUUUGUACAGGAUUUGCUCUCGCCUCCUUUGAAGGACAGACUUCAAUAGUUGAAAAAAAUGAAAUAAAUUGUCAACGGUGUGCGUACUGGGAGCGGAGUCAGGUGCAGGAGAGCAGAGAGUUGUGAACAGGCACACACUUUAUUUAGGCAGGAGAAACCAACAGACGGACACCACUGCGUCAAAACUGUCACGAUUCCCAC
Molecule: long non-coding RNA, 929 nt
Filed under: Salmo salar (Atlantic salmon)
Lineage: Eukaryota; Metazoa; Chordata; Actinopteri; Salmoniformes; Salmonidae
Description: lncRNA (ENSSSAG00000090495.1, ENSSSAG00020066384.1)
Source: RNAcentral